UUUUGCCAUCACUUGGCGUCCGUCGUCUGUCGUUGUCGGUCGUCGUCCGUCUGAUGUUAACUAUUUCAAACAUCUUCUCCUCUGAAACUACUGAACCAAUUCCAACCAAACUUAAGCUGUAUGAUGCUUAGGGUAUCUAGAAUAAAGUUUGUGUUUUAUUUACUGUUUCUAAAAACAUGGCCGCCAUGGCUAAAAAUAGAACAUAGGGGUAAAAUGCAGUUUUUGGCUUAUAUCUCAAAAACCAAAGCAUUUAGAGCAAAUCUGACAUGGGGUUAAAGUGUUCAUGAGGUGAAGUUCUAUCAGCCCUGAAAUUUUCAGUUCAAUCUGAUAACCCAUUGUUGGGUUGCUGCCACUAAAUUGGUAAUUUUAAGGAAAUUUUGCAGUUUUUAUACGACCGCAAAAAUUAAAAAUUUUUUGGUCGUAUAUUGGUAUGACGUUGGCGUCGUCGUCGUCGUCGUCGUCGUCGUCGUUGUCGUCGUCGUCGUCGUCGUCGUCCGGCGUCGUCCGGCGUCGUCCGAAGACACAUUGGUUUUCGCACUCUAACUUUAGUUUAAGUGAAUGGAUCUCCAUGAAAUUUCACCAUAAGGUUCAAUACCACAAAAGGAAGGUUGGGAUUGAUUUUGGGGGUUAUGGUACCAACAGUUAAGGAAUUAGGGGCCAAAAAGGGGCCAAAAAUAAGCAUUUUUGUAACUUUCAGACAAUAACUUGUGUGUAAGUGUAUGGAUCUCUCUGACAUUGUACCACAAGGUUCCAUAUCACAAAGGGAAGGCUGUAAUUGAUUUUGGGGGUAAUUGCCUCAAAAUUUUAGGAAUUAGGGGCCAAAAAAGGGGCAAAAAACAAGCAUUUUUCUAGUUUCAUGACAAUAACUUGUGUGUAAGUGUUUGGAUAUUUCUGAAAUUGUACUACAAGGUUCCAUAUCACAAAGGGAAAGCUGGAAUUGAGUUUGGGGGUAAUUGCCAGAAACGUUUAGGAAUUGGGGGCCAAAAAGGGGCCAAAAAUAAGCAUUUUUCUAGUUUCCAGACAAUAACUUGUGUUCAAGUGUAUGGAUCUCUCUGAAAUUGUACUGCAAGGUAUCAUACCACAAAGGGAAGGCUGGGAUUGAGUUUGGGGGUGAUGAAUCAUAAGGGGGUUCAAAAAAUUUGGGGGGGGGGGGGAUUUUAUUUUUUUUUAUUUUUCUUUUUUUCCUUUUUUUUUUCUUUUAAAAUUUUCCAUUUUAAGUUGGUUAUUUCUGAUUUAUAUUUAAAAGCAAAUAAUAAUGAUAUGGUAGGAGAUACACACCAAACAGGAUGUGUAAAUUAUUAUAUAAUAAGUAUUGUGCAAUAGCAAGAAAUUUUCAAUUGCACAGUAUUGCACAAUAGCAAGAAAUCUUCAAUUGCACAGUAUUGCGCAAUAGCAAGAAAUCUUCAAUUUAACAGUAUUGCGCAAUAGCAAGAAAUAUCCAAUAGCACAAUAUUGCGCAAUAGCAAGAAAUUGUCAAUUGUACAGUAUUGCGCAAUAGCAAGAAAUAUUCAAUUGCACAGUAUUGUGCAAAAGAAGAUACUUCGUAUAAAUUGCUUAUUUCUUGAUCAAUUUUAAUGGGGUUUUAUUCUUGAAUUCUUGGGGUUCUUUAAUAUGCUGAAUCUAACCGUGUAUUAAGUUUUUGGAUUUUGGGCCCCGUUUUUAAAUUGGUCCACAUUGAGGUCCAAAGGGUCCAAAAUUAAACUUUGUUUGAUUUCAUCAAAAAUUGAAUUAUUGGGGUUCUUUGAUAUGCCGAAUCUAACCGUGUAUUUAGAUUUUUAAUUUUGGGUCCCGUUUUUUAAAUUUGUCUACAUUAAGGUCCAAAGGGUCCAAAAUUAAACUUAGUUUGAUUUUAACAAAAAUUGAAUUCUUAAGGUUCUUUGAUAUGCUGAAUCUAAACAUGUGUUUAGAUUUUUGAUUAUGGGCCCAGUUUUCAAGUUGGUCCAAGUUGGGGUCCAAAAUUAAACUUUGUUUGAUUUCAACAAAAAUUGAAUAUAUGGGGUUCUUUGAUAUGCUGAAUCUAAACAUGUAUUUAGAUUUUAGAUUUUUGGCCCAGUUUUCAAGUUGGUCCAAAUUGGGGUCCAAAAUUAAACUUUGUUUGAUUUCAACAAAAAUUGAAUAUAUGGGGUUCUUUGAUAUGCUGAAUCUUACCAUGUAUUUAGAUUUUUUAUUUGUGGACCCACUAUCAAAUUGGUUCAUAUUGAGGUCAAAAGGGUCCAAAAUUAAACUUUGUUUGAUUUCAUCAAAAAUUGAAUUAUUGGGGUUCUUUGAUAUGCCAAAUCUAACCGUGUAUUUAGAUUUUUAAUUUUGGGUCCUGUUUUUUAAAUUGGUCUACAUUAAGGUCCAAAGGGUCCAAAAUUAAACUUAGUUUGAUUUUAACAAAAAUUGAAUUUUUGGGGUUCUUUGAUAUGCUGAAUCUAAACAUGUGUUUAGAUUUUUGAUUAUGGGACCAGUUUUCAAGUUGGUCCAAGUUGGGGUCCAAAAUUAAACUUUGUUUGAUUUCAACAAAAAUUGAAUAUAUGGGGUUCUUUGAUAUGCUGAAUCUAAACAUGUAUUUAGAUUUUAGAUUUUUGGCCCAGUUUUCAAGUUGGUCCAAAUUGGGGUCCAAAAUUAAACUUUGUUUGAUUUCAACAAAAAUUGAAUAUAUGGGGUUCUUUGAUAUGCUGAAUCUUACCAUGUAUUUAGAUUUUUUAUUUGUGGGCCCGCUAUCAAAUUGGUUCAUAUUGAGGUCAAAAGGGUCCAAAAUUAAACUUUGUUUGAUUUCAUCAAAAAUUGAAUUAUUGGGGUUCUUUGAUAUGCCAAAUCUAACUGUGUUUUUAGAUUUUUAAUUUUGGGUCCCGUUUUUUAAAUUUGUCUACAUUAAGGUCCAGAGGGUCCAAAAUUAAACUUAGUUUGAUUUUAACAAAAUUUGAAUUCUUGGGGUUCUUUGAUAUGCUGAAUCUAAACAUGUGUUUAGAUUUUUGAUUAUGGGCCCAGUUUUCAAGUUGGUCCAAGUUGGGGUCCAAAAUUAAACUUUGUUUGAUUUCAACAAAAAUUGAAUAUAUGGGGUUCUUUGAUAUGCUGAAUCUAACCAUGUUUUUUGAUUUUUGGGCCCCGUUAUCAAAUUGGUUCACAUUGAGGUCAAAAGGGUCCAAAAUUAAACUUUGUUUGAUUUCAUCAAAAAUUGAAUUCUUUGGAUUCUUUGAUAUGCCAAAUCUAACCAUGUAUUUAGAUUUUGGAUAUUGGACCAUAAUAGGUAAAUUAAAAAAUUUUAAGUUCUUAAA
Molecule: long non-coding RNA, 3260 nt
Organism: Mytilus californianus (California mussel)
Lineage: Eukaryota; Metazoa; Mollusca; Bivalvia; Mytilida; Mytilidae
Exons: 2
Source: RefSeq, a predicted model, not a curated record